RNAcentral lists this small RNA (390 nucleotides) under Pongo abelii (Sumatran orangutan). RNAcentral's name for it is "processed transcript". The record is from RNAcentral. Lineage: Eukaryota; Metazoa; Chordata; Mammalia; Primates; Hominidae.
GUGUGAUUGGAGCACACAAGACUUGCUAAGGAGAGAGAACUGGCGACCCAAAGGCUGCGGCUUCCUAGCCACAUGUCAUGCUGCCCAAGGACAUAGCCAAGCUGGUCCCUAAAACCCAUUUGAUGUCUGAAUCUGAAUGGAGGAAUCUUGGCGUUCAGCAGAGUCAGGGAUGGGUCCAUUAUAUGAUCCAUGAACCAGAACCUCACAUCUUGCUGUUCCGGCGCCCACUACCCAAGAAACCAAAGAAAUGAAGCUGGCAAGCUACUUUUCAGCCUCAGGCUUUACACAGCUGUCCUUACUUCCUAACAUCUUUCUGAUAACAUUAUUAUGUUACCUUCUUGUUUCUCACUUUGAUAUUUAAAAGAUGUUCAAUACACUGUUUGAAUGUGC